UCUUAUAACUCUAAUUUCGAGGAGGGUUACAAGAUGACUUCUUUGAGUUUUCUUCUGAGUUUUUUUCUGAGUUUUCUUGGAUAUAUUAUACAGAAAAAAAAUUAAUAUGACUAAUUUAAUACAAGGAAUACAUAUUGUAAUGACUGAUAAAGAUGGAAUACCAGUAGAGAAAAAUGAUUCAUUGUUAAUAAUGGAUAGGUACAUGUAAUGGAUAGGACAAGAGAGAUAUUUCUCUUUCUUGUGAAGACAGGGAUCAUGCUAUAUGGGAACAUUCAACAAUUAUGUUGCUCUUUUCAUUAUGGACAGAAAACGCAAACCUUUUCAAAAAUGAUAAAGUGAGAAAUGAUAUCGUGUGGAAAAAGAUUACUGAAUUCCUAAAUGGAAAAGGUUAUAUGUAUACAGCUAAACAGGUGGAAAAUAAAUGGAAAAAUUUAAAAAAAAUUUAUAUGAAAACAAAGGACCACAAUGCCCAGUCUGGGGCAUCGUUGAAGAAAUGUAAGUACUACGACGAAAUGAACAAAAUUUAUAGAAGAUCGUAUAGUGUGAUGCCUAUAGCUGUUGCGUCAAAUCUUUGUAAAAGAGAUAUAUCAACAACAGAAGACAAGGAAAUAAAUUCUGAUAAUCCUGAAA
This is a long non-coding RNA of Harpegnathos saltator (Jerdon's jumping ant), 630 nucleotides long. RefSeq lists it as uncharacterized. The transcript is spliced from 4 exons. Lineage: Eukaryota; Metazoa; Arthropoda; Insecta; Hymenoptera; Formicidae. The record is from RefSeq and is a predicted model, not a curated record.